AUUUAUUUAUUUAUUUUUAGAGAUGGCGUCUCGCUCUGUCACCCAGGCUGGAGUACAGUGGCAUGAUCUCGGCUCACUGCAACCUCCGUCUCGCACGUUCAAGCUAUCCUCCCACCUCAGCCUCCUGAGUACCUGGAACUACAGGCUUCCUUCUACCUUCACCAGCAAAUUUGGCCAUGUCUUCUAUUUCGUACAAGCUUCCUGCAUGGGCAGGGAACACAUUUUAGCCAAGAAGAGGAUGUACUUAUUGGUUCAAGGAACUUCCACCUUCCACAAAGAAACCCCAUUCCAGGUACCGAUGGGGGAAAGGUGGAGGUGGGAACAAUCUCCAAG
Molecule: long non-coding RNA, 333 nt
Filed under: Homo sapiens (human)
Lineage: Eukaryota; Metazoa; Chordata; Mammalia; Primates; Hominidae
Description: HSALNT0254907
Source: RNAcentral